GCUGAAGGAGAGUGACUUACCCAAAGUCACACACCUAGGAACUGGAAGGACUGAGGCCUUCUGGGUCCAUGCAUUCUACCUGUGGCUGCUGCCUCUCUUGGCCAUCCCAGAGCAUCAUGUGAUGCUGUGGUAUAACAACAGCAGCGACAACAACAAGAAAUCAAUGUUGUCUCUUAACCCUGUCCUGAUGACCUUAUAUAUUCUUGCAAGCAACCUGUAAUGUGCUCCAGUUGCUUUCCUUUUUUGUCUCCUCACCCCAUCAGUCAGGACCGGCUGUAGGAGUUUAGGAGGACAUAUGUGUCUCAAAGUAUUCCAAGGACUCUAGCACUGUGUGGAAAAUAGAUCCUGCAGCUGGGCUUCCUGCAGCUCAAGAAAGAGAUUUCAUGCCAAAG
Molecule: long non-coding RNA, 392 nt
Filed under: Homo sapiens (human)
Lineage: Eukaryota; Metazoa; Chordata; Mammalia; Primates; Hominidae
Description: HSALNT0087080
Source: RNAcentral